This 253-nucleotide ribosomal RNA is filed under the name uncultured bacterium. RNAcentral's name for it is "partial 16S ribosomal RNA". It matches the Rfam family "Bacterial small subunit ribosomal RNA", at positions 524 to 776 of the family's 1533-position model. The record is from RNAcentral.
UACGUAGGGUGCGAGCGUUGUCCGGAAUUACUGGGCGUAAAGAGCUCGUAGGUGGUUUGUCGCGUUGUUCGUGAAAUCUCACGGCUUAACUGUGAGCGUGCGGGCGAUACGGGCAGACUAGAGUACUGCAGGGGAGACUGGAAUUCCUGGUGUAGCGGUGGAAUGCGCAGAUAUCAGGAGGAACACCGGUGGCGAAGGCGGGUCUCUGGGCAGUAACUGGCGCUGAGGAGCGAAAGCGUGGGGAGCGAACAGG